RNAcentral lists this unclassified non-coding RNA (345 nucleotides) under soil metagenome. RNAcentral describes it as "partial contains 5.8S ribosomal RNA, internal transcribed spacer 2, and large subunit ribosomal RNA". The stretch from base 1 to 120 matches the Rfam family "5.8S ribosomal RNA", at positions 35 to 154 of the family's 154-position model. The record is from RNAcentral.
GAUGAAGAACGUAGUAAAAUGCGAUACGUAAUGUGAAUUGCAGAAUUCAGUGAAUCAUCGAGUCUUUGAACGCACAUUGCGCCCCCUGGUAUUCCGGGGGGCAUGCCUGUCCGAGCGUCAUUGCUGCCCUCAAGCACGGCUUGUGUGUUGGGCCUCCGUCCUCCUCCCGGGGGACGGGCCCGAAAGGCAGCGGCGGCACCGCGUCCGGUCCUCGAGCGUAUGGGGCUUCGUCACCCGCUCUUGUAGGCCCGGCCGGCGCUUGCCGACACAUCAAUCUUUUUUCCAGGUUGACCUCGGAUCAGGUAGGGAUACCCGCUGAACUUAAGCAUAUCAAUAAGCGGAGGA